GAUCAUUUCAGCAGCUCAUAUACUAAAAUUGGAACAAUACAGAGAAGAUGAGCAUGCUCCCUGUGCAAGGAGGACUACAAAUUUGUGAAGUGUUCCAUAUUUAA
RNAcentral lists this small nuclear RNA (104 nucleotides) under Salvator merianae (Argentine black and white tegu). Lineage: Eukaryota; Metazoa; Chordata; Lepidosauria; Squamata; Teiidae. The record is from RNAcentral.